AGUCGAACGAAGAUGCCGGAGUGCUUGCACUUUGGCAGACUGAGUGGCGGACGGGUGAGUAACGCGCGGGUAACCUGCCUUAUACAGGGGGAUAACAGUUGGAAACGACUGCUAAUACCGCAUAAGCGCACGGUAUCGCAUGAUACAGUGUGAAAAACUCCGGUGGUAUAAGAUGGACCCGCGUCUGAUUAGCUUGUUGGUGAGGUAACGGCCCACCAAGGCGACGAUCAGUAGCCGGCCUGAGAGGGUGAACGGCCACAUUGGGACUGAGACACGGCCCAAACUCCUACGGGAGGCAGCAGUGGGGAAUAUUGCACAAUGGGGGAAACCCUGAUGCAGCGACGCCGCGUGAGUGAUGAAGUAUUUCGGUAUGUAAAACUCUAUCAGCAGGGAAGAUAAUGACGGUACCUGACUAAGAAGCACCGGCUAAAUACGUGCCAGCAGCCGCGGUAAUACGUAUGGUGCAAGCGUUAUCCGGAUUUACUGGGUGUAAAGGGUGCGUAGGUGGUAUGGCAAGUCAGAAGUGAAAGGCUGGGGCUCAACCCCGGGACUGCUUUUGAAACUGUCAAACUAGGGUACAGGAGAGGAAAGCGGAAUUCCUAGUGUAGCGGUGAAAUGCGUAGAUAUUAGGAGGAACACCAGUGGCGAAGGCGGCUUUCUGGACUGAAACUGACACUGAGGCACGAAAGCGUGGGGAGCAAA
RNAcentral lists this ribosomal RNA (702 nucleotides) under uncultured bacterium. Its description in RNAcentral is "bacterial SSU rRNA". It matches the Rfam family "Bacterial small subunit ribosomal RNA", at positions 60 to 772 of the family's 1533-position model. The record is from RNAcentral.